Molecule: small nuclear RNA, 150 nt
Filed under: Carlito syrichta (Philippine tarsier)
Lineage: Eukaryota; Metazoa; Chordata; Mammalia; Primates; Tarsiidae
Description: U12 minor spliceosomal RNA (ENSTSYG00000027471.1)
Rfam family: U12 minor spliceosomal RNA
About the family: Although the U12 sequence is very divergent from that of U2, the two are functionally analogous.
Source: Rfam by way of RNAcentral
AUGCCUUAAACUUAUAAAUAAAGAAAAUAACAAUUUGGGGUGACACCCGCAUUGUCACUGCUAAGGUGAGAUGAAUUUUUGAGCGGGUAAAGGCUGUCCCUAAGGUGACCCACCUACUUUGUGGGAUACCUGAGAGUCACAAUCUGCUCA